GAUGAACGCUGGCGGCGUGCCUAAUACAUGCAAGUCGAGCGAACAGACGAGGAACUUGCUCCUCUGACGUUAGCGGCGGACGGGUGAGUAACACGUGGAUAACCUACCUAUAAGACUGGGAUAACUUCGGGAAACCGGAGCUAAUACCGGAUAAUAUAUUGAACCGCAUGGUUCAAUAGUGAAAGACGGUUUUGCUGUCACUUAUAGAUGGAUCCGCGCCGCAUUAGCUAGUUGGUAAGGUAACGGCUUACCAAGGCAACGAUGCGUAGCCGACCUGAGAGGGGGGGGAGCCACAAGGGAGCUGAGAACGGGAGGAGGAGCAUGCGGGAGGAAGCAGGAGGGGAUGUGUGGGAAGGGUCGAGAGCGUGAAGGAGCAAGGGAUGGUGAGAGAUAAAGGUGUUGGGAUAGGAAACAUCUGUUAAGAGGGAGAAAUAAAUGGGUAAGGAAUAAUGCAGGGCUGGACGGGACCGAAUUAGAAAGCCACGGCUAACUAAGUG
Molecule: ribosomal RNA, 497 nt
Filed under: uncultured bacterium
Lineage: Bacteria
Description: partial 16S ribosomal RNA
Rfam family: Bacterial small subunit ribosomal RNA
Source: RNAcentral